UAGAAUACUGAGGUCUAUGGACAUCUCUGAGUGAACAGAAAAUUACAGCUGUCAUCUUGACACACUACAGGGUUAAUUACACACUAAUAAAAGUCAGCGACUGUUAUACUAUUACAGUUACUGGAAUCCAAAUGGUGGUGUUUGUUUGUGAAUCAUUGGAUUAAAGAUAUUAGGGCCAGUGAAUUAAUCUUUGCAUUCCUUCUCUCAGGCAUGGCACAGCGAAGUGCUUAUUUACUUGGCAUGCUCCUCUUAGUCAGAAGCACUUGGGCUGGGCCGAGUCCCUUGGUUACAAGUACGUCAUCAGCCACCCUUAAACCAGAAAAUACAGGACUCUCAGGAAGUGCACUUGAUAACACAGCACAGUGAGCCAAAAUUAGCCAGUAAUCCGCAUUACUCCUCAUCCUGAAAUGAUGCAAUCAUAUUUUACAAGGUUGUCAAGUGGUGGAGAUCAGCCCAGUGGCCGUAUGAGAUCCUUUUCCCAGCUUUGUUACAACAACCAGGUUUUAAUGACUCCCACAGUUUCAGCUUCUCUUUUUCAAAAUCUCAAACAGCCAUCGGUGGCAGGAUUUCUAAGUUCAGAUGGGUGGCAAAUUUACUGUACUGUAAGCUCCUUAAUUCUAGAAACAAUGUUUUAUUCUUUAUAUCUACUGAGCACAAUGCUUGGUGCAGUAGGUACUCAAUUAAUGUCGGCUAAAUUAUUCCCAAUAAGAAAAUGAAAUGAUGAAUGAGACUUCAUCACUAGGUGAUUGCGCAGGUUCCUUGUUGCCCACUGCCACCACAAAGCACGAGAAUGGGAAUGAGUAGCCUGGAAUCGCUUACAGAAUCACACGGAAAAGCCUGGUGUGACAUUCUAGCCCACAGAGCCGUGAGUCGGCCUCCACAGGAUUAUCUCAGCGACACGCUGUCUUCCUACUAACAAAGAAGAAAAGAGCUCUGUGAGAUUCCGGGAAUUCUAAGGCCCACUUAUUUCUGGUUACUUGUUUUUGGUAGGCACUGCAUAAAUACCAAAGAAACAGUGCUGAAAUGGAAGAGAUUUUUCAUUUUCAUUCCUAAAAAAAUUCAUGGGAAUUAUUAUGUCUCGUGAUGGAUGAGCAUGGCUAGAACUCUCUUUAUCCUGGAGAGUACCGCAGACGAAGAUACUAAGGCACCAUUCCCGGAGAACUGUAGAAUCCUGCUUCUGUCCUCUAGUGAUUCACAACCUAACACCUGAGUGACGCUGAAAGAAGAAACACCUAUGCUUAGCAUUAAGAAACUGCUAACGAGCAUGUAGGCUUGCAUAGGCUCUGGAGUGGAAAGAACUGGGUUUAAGAUCUGUCACUUACCAGCUGUGUGACCUUGGGCAAAUCACUUAACCUCUCUCAGCCCCCUGCCAAAGGUUAUUCUAACGCUUCCCCUCCCUGAGCCUUCCUGCAAGACCCAGAUGAGACCAGGUCCUCCCGACAAUUGUCGUGGCUCUCCCCACACUGCAGCAAGGGAAACAGAUGGCUUCCCAGCUCUCCUCUCAGGGUUUUAUUCAGCUGCAUCUGCAGAACCACACGGAGGGAGGAAUUUUGGUCCCAAACACAUGUAUGCUCCUCUAAAGAUGAGGUAAUUUCUCCUCCUUUCUGCACUUCGAGCAAAGAGAAGCCGAGCCCAGGAGAGCCCAGAGAGGUUCGCGGCUGGAUACUGUGCACGGCUCCCCCUUCUGAGCAGUCUGUCUCCAUGGAGACAGACGCACAACAGAAGAAUCACGACUGGGCCAGGUGGGGAUCAGGAGCAGCAGGGGAGACGCCAAGAGUCAACAGACGGGGAA
Long non-coding RNA from Equus caballus (horse), 1792 nucleotides. The record is from Ensembl. Lineage: Eukaryota; Metazoa; Chordata; Mammalia; Perissodactyla; Equidae.